RNAcentral lists this ribosomal RNA (405 nucleotides) under uncultured bacterium. RNAcentral describes it as "bacterial SSU rRNA". It matches the Rfam family "Bacterial small subunit ribosomal RNA", at positions 18 to 430 of the family's 1533-position model. The record is from RNAcentral.
CCUGGCUCAGAUUGAACGCUGGCGGCAUGCCUUACACAUGCAAGUCGAACGGUAACGCGGGGCAACCUGGCGACGAGUGGCGAACGGGUGAGUAAUGCAUCGGAACGUGCCCAGUAGUGGGGGAUAGCCCGGCGAAAGCCGGAUUAAUACCGCAUACGACCUAUGGGUGAAAGCGGGGGAUCGCAAGACCUCGCGCUAUUGGAGCGGCCGAUGUCAGAUUAGCUAGUUGGUGGGGUAAAGGCCUACCAAGGCGACGAUCUGUAGCUGGUCUGAGAGGACGACCAGCCACACUGGGACUGAGACACGGCCCAGACUCCUACGGGAGGCAGCAGUGGGGAAUUUUGGACAAUGGGGGCAACCCUGAUCCAGCCAUGCCGCGUGCGGGAAGAAGGCCUCGGUGUAACG